This 6405-nucleotide long non-coding RNA is filed under the name Phaseolus vulgaris (common bean). RNAcentral's name for it is "long non-coding RNA (PVUL_LNC001387)". The record is from RNAcentral. Lineage: Eukaryota; Viridiplantae; Streptophyta; Magnoliopsida; Fabales; Fabaceae.
CAGGAACAAGCUGAUAUCACAAACUCCAACUCUGAGUAUACCUUACUGUCCAAAACCAUUAUUUCCCUGGGAGUGAAACAAUUUGAUACUGAAAAAAUUCUCUGAAAUUGAGUUAGUGUUUUUAGUCAAAACAGUUAGAGUAAGCUGAAAUAUUAGUUUAGAACGUGUAGCUUUUGCUGUGAUACAUGCUUCCAGCAUUUUCUAUUUUUAUGUCAUAGAAUUCAAUAAUAUGUUAUAAUUAUUUAGAAUUGUUAAAUGUUGUAAUAUCGAACAUGGGUUGUCAAAAUAGGUUUUUCGUUUUAACAGAGGCUCUCAUCUAUAAUCGUGUAUUAGUAACUAAUUAGUAAUGAUAGAAACUCCUUGCUGAUUCAGGCUUUAAAUUGUUCUAUCUACUGUCUCUGUUUUAGCCUAGUUGGAAUUACUUGCCACCAACACUUUCCCCUUAUACUAACUUUUAAGUAUUAAAGUAAAUGCUUGAUCUUAAAAAAGGCAUCUGGUCGAACCAACAUUAUUUACAGCUGAUCUUUUCAAUUUCAAAAAUCUUGAGUGAAAUUUAAUAACUAUAUUAACAACAGAAAAGUCAGUUUGUAACAUGUCCCAGUAGCAUACAUCUUAAAAAUGUGUGACCAUUAAAUAAAGUACUUAAACACUUGUCUUUAGUUUUGAUUUUUUUAAUGGAUAAAAGGAUAUGUAUUUAAAAUAUUAACAGUCUUACCUUGGAAGUACCCCAAUUUGCUUAACUGUGAAAAUUGAAGGGAAGUAGAGGUGAAAGAUGCUUCAAGUAUGAACCUGAUAAAUGGACCAACUUUGAGUGAAUUAGAAGUGGAACUUCAGCAUGAUCUGUAGCAGGAACAAACUGAUAUCACAAACACCAAUGCUGAUGAUUAUAAACCCCCAAAAAAAAAACUUAUUUUUCAAAACCAUUAUUCACCCAAAACUGGGAAUUUGAGCAUGCUCUGCCAUUGCACCAACAGGAUUGUUAUCUUUGAGAUUUCCUAUUAUUUAUUUCUAACAUUUGGUACCUUCCUUUUGAUUGGUCCUUUUUGAUGAGAUUCUGUAUAUUCUCCUUACUGUUUUACAUCAGUUUUUCCUUGCUUAUAACACCACCAUUGUAUGAAUCUAUAUAGUAAGACAAAGUAUUAUAAUAUAAUUCUUUGAACCAAAAAAGUUAGCUAUGUGGAAAUAAACACUCACUCUAUUUAGGCUCAAUUUGAAUCCUCCCACUUUAUGAGAACUUCUAAGAUAAAUUAUUUUAGUUCUAGAAAAGUUUACUUAUAUAAGUUGAUUUUAACUUUGAUUUAGUUUACCUUCUUAAUUUAUUAAUUAAUUGUAUUCUUUUUUCCUAUAAAUAACUUUUGGGGUAUAAUCUUUAUCUGUCUUUUUUAUAAGAAAAAAGGAAGAAAAAAACUACCUGUAACACAAUGUUUCCACAAAGGCAUUGGGAAUUGGCUCAACAGCAAUCCAUUCCCCAUCUUUCCAAUUCUCAACCACAUGUUUGGUGGCUCUUCCACUAUUUGUGUAGAGCUUGCACCUUCCAUUUGGAUCCUUAGUGUCGUUUAUCUUUUCAUCCUAAGGCAUGCCAUGGAAUUCUUUUGAAAAUAUUCCGUGUAGCAUCCACUAUAUCCUUAGAAACUCUAUGGUUGAUAACCUAGCAAGUUUAUCACAGUUUCAGAUUAACCAAAUAUACAUACAAGCACACAAAAUCAAGGCCAAACAUCUAAGACUAUAUAAAAUGUGUAGUAUUUCUCAUAAGAAACAAUUUAUUGGCCACAGCAAGUUAUAUAUAUAUCAGACAACACCAAAGAUAUCCAUCACGUGUGUUCAACCAAUAUAGUGGCACAUAUGCUGUUAGGAACUAUAGUAACAGAAAAAUGCUAAAUGAUUACACACAUAUUUAUAGGUAGAUUGGAUGCCACUGCAAAAGAAAAAACAAACAAAUAUAACCAUUUGAAGUAAUAAAAAAUUGUAUUGCAUUAUAAAACAAAAUUUACAAGAGAGUCUUUAAAAUAAUAUAGUAUAAUAGAACCAUUGGAAGUGGAGAUUUCUGUCGUUGAUGGGAAGAAUAUGUAUAAUUAAAUCAGUUUUAACCGCUAUUCCUCUAUUCUCUUUAUCCUAUUUUAAAUCCUCGGAGUCGGUUUAGGCUUGGGGAAGGAUAGCAGGUAAAUGUCUUGGGUAAGUUGGGAGAAUAUGUGUAAACAGUGGAGGCAGACGGUUUGGGAGUUAAAGAUAUAAGAAAGUUCAAUGGAGUUGUUCUAACUAAAUGGAAGUGGCGAUUUGUAGGUGAAGAAAAAGGGUUGUGGAAGAAUAACCUAGUAUCUAAAUACGACCCCUUUUGAAAAAUCAAUCCAGGUGGUGGAGAGAUUUAUCUAAACUAUGUGACCAGGGGGAGGAGAAGGGUGGUUCUAAGAAGCUCUGGAAUGGAAAGUGAGUUGUGGAGACAAAGUUAGAUUCUGGGAGGAUGUUUGGGUGGGCGGAAAUAAACUUAGUUCUGUGUAUCCUAGGUUGUUCACCCUUGGAAAGGAUCAGGGGCUAACAGUGAGCGAGGUGGGCGUAUGGGAAGACUCGGCUUGGAUCUGGAAACUAAGAUGGAGGAGGGUUAGGUUUGAAUAGGAAGUUGUGCAAGAAGCGGAAAUGCUUUGGUCUUUGUCAGGGGGCACUCUGAAUAGGGAGGCAAAGGACACACACUAGUGUGGAGAGGGAAUGCAAUAGGAAGAGUUUUCUGUGAAGUAAGCUUAUGAACGUUUUUCUAACUCUUACAUAAGUCCUCCUAACGGGCUGUUCAAACAGUUGUGGCAAUCUAAAGCAAUGCUCAAAGUCUGGACAACUGCUUGGAGGGUUCUGUUAGAUAGAAUUCCAACUCGUUCCAGCUUAGUCAGGAGAGGAGUUUUGGUUAAUUCAACUAGUUGUGCUCUUUGCCAUGUUGUUCAACAUCUAUUUAUAGAGUGUCCCAUAGGACAAAUAGUGUGGUCUCUCUGCUUUAAGUGGGUAGGUAUCCUGUUCUUACAACAUAAGUUACUUCGAGAACUUCCCCUUAGAAGAGUUGAGUUCAAAGCAGAACUUGGUCUGGAAAAUUAUGUGGGGGACAAUGGUGAGACGACUAUGAGAACAAAGAAACUCUAUUAUUUUUAAGAAGGGUUCCUGAUGCGGAAGAAAUCUUUCAUAUGACACAGCUUAAUUCAUGGUUGUGGUUUGAAACAUAAGACUCGCUCUUUCAAUUAUUCUUUCUCGGAUUGGCCUAAAUCUGAUCCUAUCCAUCAAAAGUCAAAUGUAAAAGGAGGGGAAGCCUGUUUGGGAGUGCAGUCAGUCGGCUAAAUGAAGUUUGAGAUGGGAGGACAAGGCAGAGGAAGGAAUAGUAGAGAUAGUGCAGAUCAUCAAGCAGGGAGAUGUAGGACCUGCUCUUGCUCUGAGCAGUAUAGAAAGGUAUCUUGAUCAGGAGGACUUGGAAGAUGGCUUGCUGUGAGGUGCUCUAGUGAAGGCAAAGGUGUUGUACUUGCCAAAACCGUUUUCGGAGCUUUAUUGGAGGUGUAGCAGAGAGUGUAUGACAGCUGUAAGGAGAUACAGCAGCACCGUUUAUGCAGUAGAGGAAUUGUUGUAGACGCUUUGGAAAGGUCACCUUGUAGCUUCUUGGUGGUGCUGCAGGACAGAUUCUAGGGAGAGCGCUGUAAUGGUAUCUGUGCUAGUGCUAGAGGUAGUCAAAGAGAUGCAUUUAUAGAAGGAAGUGUGAAGAGCAAACAAUGUUUUAUAGGGUACUUGAAAAUGUGUGUUCUGGUAUAAUCUGCAUAUUUAUGCAAUGAGGCAUUGCUUGAAUAUGCUUGCGUCAUGCAGCAUGCUAGUCUUGUUCUUAUGGACGCUUGUGGUAUUCUUAAGUGCCUUGCUAAUGCGAAUCUUAGGUAGCAGCUGGUGCAGUUUUGUAUAUUUGGCAUUGUGGAUCCCUGAUUAUGGUGCUUAAGCCAAGGCUGAGGCUAUGUUGUUAACCUGUAAGGGCCAAGCCAGCAGGUUCUGUUCUGGUUUUUUGCUUUCUAUGCCUAUUUCUGUUUUAUGCAGCAAAAGGAACCUUGUGAGCACAUGGGAAGUAGUACAAAUAGCUAUGGCUAGAGAGGAGGUGGCUCAAGACUUCACCAGCAUAGACUGCGGAGCUCAAGCAGAUGUGAGAUAUACUGAAAUAUCCACAUACAUAGAUUCUUUUCAGAUGCAAAUUUGUUAACUGGUGUGAAGAUUCUUGGAAAAUUGGAAGUUCUUAUAAGGAAGUGAAGAGCUCGGUUUCUGAAGCAUGAUUGCAAAGUGUUGUGUCAUAGAAUCAAAUCACGGUGGUUUGAUAGCUGCAGCAGGAUGGAUAAAAAAACCUUUGGCUUUUGCUUUUGAACCUCGUCAAUACCUCUGUUGAGGGACUUUUGAGGUCUUGAAAUCACAUCAGCAGCAUAUAGGGAGUUACAUCAGAAGGGUGUAUGGCUGUUCUUAUGUAGGGGAUGUGGCCAAUCAAUUCUGCAGGUGCUGUUUUGGUGUAGGGUAAUCGGUGUAUGGCUGCUCUUAGACAAAGGAUGUGGCCAAUUCUGCAGGUGCUGGCUUCAUGCAGGUUAAUCUGAAGCAGGGGGUUUUCACCAAUUCUGCAGAUGGGAAGGACUCUGUGAUGUGGUCUUUUGGCUUUAAGUUUAGGGUUUAGGCUUUAAUUUAUUUAUUUUUUGAGUCAGUGUAAUUUACAAAAUAUAGAACACAUAGUUACUUAUUAUAAAUAGAAUUCAGAUUUAUAUGAACAAGUUGAAUUUUUUUUACUAAAAAAUGUCAAUUUUAAAGAAUUUAUUUUUUAUUUUUAUAAUUAUAAUAAAAAUUUAUAUAAUAAAUUUAAAUUAUUAAAAAAUCAUUUUAUUUACUUUUUAAAAUUUUGUUGAAACCGUGUUAAAAUUUUCAUAAAUAUAAAAAACAAUGUCUUUUGAAAUGGAGAUUUUAACCACUCGUGUUUUAUAAGUGUUGUGUGUUCACUGUCGGAAACAAGGACACGUAAGAAGAAAACGCCGCCUUAUUAAAAACUGCAGGAGAUCUUAUUUGGGGAAGAUUCCAACCCAACCUUAAAUAUGCAUGACAAGCCAAACGAUUGAGGAGCAACAUAGUUCAAUGUGUAUGGUAAGUGACAAGUGAGAACUACUUAAGCAAGAAGGUGUCACAAAUUGGAACUAUGUUUCUGAAUUGUGUGGGCAUGUGUUGUUCGAAGCCCACAACAAAUACAACUUCAUCUCAGAGACAGUUUCCAACGUUGAUAGAAGAGCUGUGCCAUCAAUUUUCUCUCUCCGAUCUUAGGAAAGCCAUCAAUAACUUUGAUCAGAAGAGAGUAAUAGGAAGUGGAUUUUUUAGUGAAGUAUAUUAAGGGUGUCUGCAGCAUGAUGGUGCUUCUGAUUACACGGUCGCAAUAAAGCGAUUUCAUUAUCAAGGAUGGGAAGCGUUCAACAAGGAAAUCGAAUUGCUAUGCCAGCUUCGUCACCCUAGAUGUGUUUCUCUUAUAGGAUUCUGCAACCACCAAAAUGAGAAGAUUCUUGUAUACGAGUACAUGUCCAAUGGAUCUCUAGAUAAACACCUUCAAGAUGGUGAACUAUCAUGGAAGAAGAGGCUAGAGAUCUGCAUAGGAGUAGCACGUGGACUACACUACCUUCACACUGGUGCCAAGCGUUCCAUCUUUCACUGUAUCCUCGGUCCUAGUACCAUCCUUUUGGAUGACCAAAUGGAGCCAAAACUCGCUGGUUUCGGUGUUAGCAUGCAGGGAUCACGUUUUAUGUCAAAGCAGAAGCAAAUCAAUGUAGAUCGUGUUUUGGGUAAUUUUUGUUUUGUUGUAUGAGCUCACUCACUGCAAUGAAUUUUUGUGGAUCAAACUAAGCUAAUACUCUUUGUUAUAGGUACUUUUGGCUACCCGGCUACGGACUAUGUCAUGGAUGGUACCAUCACAGCUAAAUGGGAUGUUUUCUUAUUUGGUUUGCUUCUACUAAAAGUUGUGUGCAGGAGCAUAUUUUAUUUAAUAACCCUGACUGAAAAAGAAUGUCUGGAGAAUCCUGUUAAGGAGGGAAUUGAUCCGAUUAUCAAAGGAAAGAUUGCACCAGAUUGUUGGCAAGUGUUUGUAGAUGUGAUGGUAACUUGCUUGAAGUAUGACCCAGAUGAGAGACCAACAAUUGGUGAAGUGGAGGUUCAACUUGAGCAUGCAGGAACAAGCUGAUAUUACAAACUCCAACUCUGAGUAUACCUUACUGUCCAAAACCAUUAUUUCCAUGGGAGUGAAACAAUUUCAUACUGAAGAAAUGUAAGUGACCAGAUCACUGAAAUUGAGUUUAGUGUUUUUAGUCAAAACAGUUAGUAAUCUGAAAUUUGUUUAGAAUUUAGAUACUUGUGUAGCUUUUGCAGUGAUACAUGCAUCCAGCAUUUUCU